AGAAUAGCCAAAAUAUCUGUGUGACAGCCUCUCUUCCUUUCUUUACUCUCGUCGUCUCAUGUGCUCUCACUUUCUUCAUAUAUAUAGUCUUUCUUCUCCUCCUGUGCAGCCUCUCUUGAUCUUACCGAAUACCCGAAAGGCAGAGAGAAGACACUUCCAAACCAAUGUCAAGUGUUGUCAUUAGUUUCUUCAAGUAUAGGAACUCUUAAAUAUGCAACUGGGUUGUUGGUUGCUUUUUGGCAUGGGUGGUGUAGGAAAGGUAUAUAUCUCCU
Molecule: non-coding RNA, 272 nt
Organism: Prunus avium (sweet cherry)
Lineage: Eukaryota; Viridiplantae; Streptophyta; Magnoliopsida; Rosales; Rosaceae
Source: RefSeq, a predicted model, not a curated record